RNAcentral lists this ribosomal RNA (255 nucleotides) under uncultured bacterium. Its description in RNAcentral is "partial 16S ribosomal RNA". It matches the Rfam family "Bacterial small subunit ribosomal RNA", at positions 524 to 776 of the family's 1533-position model. The record is from RNAcentral.
UACGGAGGAUGCAAGCGUUAUCCGGAAUUAUUGGGCGUAAAGCGUCCGCAGGUGGCACUUCAAGUCUGCUGUCAAAGACCGGGGCUUAACCCUGGAAAGGCAGUGGAAACUGAAGCGCUAGAGUGUGGCAGGGGUAGAGGGAAUUCCCGGUGUAGCGGUGAAAUGCGUAGAGAUCGGGGAGGAACAUCGGUGGCGAAAGCGGCGAUCCUGGACCGACACUGACGCUGAGGCGCGAAAGCUAGGGUAGCAAACGGG